AUGAUUAAUAAAAUUUUUGGCAUCUUCUGCUCAAUGAUAGAUUAAAUUGCCGCAAUAUUUUAAUUGUGCUAAGGUAGCAUAAUCACUUGUCUAUUAAUUGUAGACUGGAAUGAAGGAAUAAAUGUAAUUUUUUCUGUUUCAUAUUAUAAUUUAAAAUUUUAUAUUAAAGUGAAGAAGCUUUAAUAUGUUCGCUAGACAAGAAGACCCUAUAGAGCUUAAAUUAAUUUAUAAAGCAAUUAGUAAUAUAAUUAAAAUUUGAUUGGGACGAUCUAGAUAAUUAUAAAACUAUCUUCCAUAUAUUAAAAACCUAUUAGUAGUGUAUUUGAUCCACAUGCUAUGAUCAAAAAAUAAGUUACCUUAGGGAUAACAGACUAAUUUUUCUUUAAAGUUCUAAUUAAAAGAAUAGAUUUGCACCUCGAUGUUGGCUUAUAAGUAUAUUUAUUUAGUGCAGAAGCUAAGAUAAUAGAUUUGUUCAAUCUUUAAAAAUUU
This 489-nucleotide ribosomal RNA is filed under the name Inanidrilus manae. RNAcentral's name for it is "partial 16S ribosomal RNA". Lineage: Eukaryota; Metazoa; Annelida; Clitellata; Tubificida; Naididae. The record is from RNAcentral.